Molecule: long non-coding RNA, 3541 nt
Organism: Tyto alba (common barn owl)
Lineage: Eukaryota; Metazoa; Chordata; Aves; Strigiformes; Tytonidae
Exons: 9
Source: RefSeq, a predicted model, not a curated record
AUGAAAACUGUAAUUUUAUUUGAUUUUUUAAAAAGUAUUUUUCCAUAGAGGCUUUUUUGUUGUUGUGGGAAGGAAGGGGCAUUUUCAGUAACAACAUGCUUAAUGGUCUGUUUUCAAGCCAUUAGUUUUGCAGUAUUUUUAACCCAGUGGACAUCUCUUAGUUUUAGAUCAUGCUGCAAACCACAUUUCUCCUCCUUAUACAGCCUCUGUUACAGGGGUGCUUGUUGGGGUAAGCCCGUCUGGUCCUAUCACAUCAUCCAACCCAGGAACUUGGAGGAUAGUUGUACCUCAUCGCCACUACCACCUGAUCCUGUUACUACCCAUGGGACAGGACUUCAGCAAAUGCAAACCAUACUCAAGGUCCAUCUGGCCACCCUGAUUUAUGUCACCAGAGCACUUCCCUCACUGUCCCCUGCCCAGCUGUUUGUCAACGUUUGUGCUAGACAUCUCCAGCUAUGCUAUUACUGUGUUUGGGGGCUCUGAAACUCUUUGUUUCCCUUGGAAUAAAAAUGUUACAGAAGAUGACAGACCCUAUUUUUCAGUGAGGAAAAUCCGCAUUGGCUUUACUAUUCAAUCAUGAAUCAUGAUAUUUGCAUUGGCAAUGUGCCUGUUGGUGUACAAGGCAAAUGUGAGGCAAAAUAGACCAUUUCUCCUUGAGCAGGAUUCAUAUUCAUUCAUCACCAGCAAGAAAUGCUCCUUCCCCCCAUAAGCCUGGUGACUGCCUGGCUUCUCCACAGUCACCCCUCCUUACUCACUCUGAGGGUACUACCUUAAGUGUGCCUGGCAGCAGUAAAAUCCAGUUGCUUUUUAACUUAAAUGUCUCAUAACUCACCUGUAAUGGAAACCCUACUGUUGUUCACAUGACCACUAAACCCAUCACUUUCCACAACAGCAACUGGAGCAAGUUUUAAUUUAUCCCAGCCCAGCCUUAGAAAGAAAAAGAAAACUUCUGAGAACAUUGUUGCUGAGGACCUCCUCAGGAAACCCAUCAAACCAGCCUGACGUUGAGGCUGCACACAGUGAAUUAGUUGCUCAUUAAUGACAAGGGGCUGGGGUGUGCUGUGGGGCACAGAUGCUUAUUCCUGUAGUUCCUUCAGCAGAUAGUGACAGUGAGAGCAAGUGGGUGGAGCAGCCAGAUAUUAAAGCUCUCCUGGGGAUCAGAUGAUGUCUUCUUCUGCUACUUCUCUGUCACGUGGCACUCUGAGGUGUCUCCUCUGGGUGGUGUGUGGCUGAGGACAGGAUGGAGGACACCCGCAUUUUGGAAGAUGCUCGUGAAAGGCUGAAUAAGGCUCCUCGGUAAUUCAGGAGACUGCCUAAAACUUGCCUGUGUGCUGGCACCUGAUGCCUGGAGAGAGCCUGUCUGCACAACACUGCCUCCUUUUUGCACUCAGCGGGUGUGAGUUGGCUGCUGAUGCUAAGGAUUAUUGCCGUUUAUUUUUGCUGGCUUGUAGCAAUUCACACCUCAUACCCAGAGUCCUUCAUCUUCUUUUUGGGGAAGAAGUGGCAGACCUGGGCAUCUGGCAAAGGUGUCUGGAAAUCAGGAGUUAAAUAAGUUGCCUUGUGUCACUGCCCUCAGCUUGUUUUACAUGAUUAGGACAAAAGUCCCCAUAGCUUUGGACGUAAUAAGGAAAAAAAAGGAAACAAGAGCCUCUGGAGGGUAGAAAUAUGAACUGGGUUAGUGCUUAAUUAAGUUGCCUAUUAACAGUUCUGUAGUGGCCUGGAAGAAUUUUAAUGUACCAAUUAAAGCAGGGAGCUAUCUCCUUGGCUUUCCACCACCUCUGGGGACGCUAUCAAGAACGAGGAGCUUGCAGAUCAAGUGCUGUUUAUUUUGCUCCUUCCAGUUUGUUAAAAAUUGUUCUAAAUUUGGGAUGUGGCAGAUGCCCACGGAUGUAUUUGCUUCCGCGAGGCAGUGGAGUGACGUCUGUCUGAUUAAAAUUAUCAUGGGAAAGAAAUGGGACCAUAACGCUGUCUGACCCCAUCAAACCCCUCCUGUUUUGCGCAGUUUCUCCGUGUUGCUGCAUGAGCAGGGGGUUGGUGGCCGUGGGGCAGCUGCACACCAGCAGUGGGGUGCAUUGGUUUGGCACAUACAGCCUGGACAGCUGGUGUGGGCUCACAGCGCAUGCUUGGAAGGGAUGUGCUGAGCUACCCUGCUUGUCUGCUGUCUGUGCUGUCACUGUGUCACUCCACCCUUCAGGAGCUUGCCUGGCUCCAUUGUAAGCUGCAGGGACACGGGGUCCCCCUCCAGGUGUGCCUCGUGAAAGGUGGUCAGAGAACAUGGAUGCUCUGAUGACUAGGAAUCUGAUUUGCAGCCAGAAGGUACUUAAGGCCAUUUUAGUGCCAUUUGCUCAAAAGGAUCUUUCUCCCCAUUUGUUUACCCUCCCAAACAUGCUGCUGAGGGGAGGUUGUACCUCCUGCCUUUGACCAUCCUGAACAAGCUGACCUUGUGCCAUUGCUGUGCCCAAGACCCUAUUCAUCCUUCUUGCUCCAGAAGGGCCUCAUGAGAGGACUUACUAGCAAAAUCAUAAGGGAUUUAUUCAUCACAUUCCUUGACAGCUGGAUUUUUGGAAGAAGAGGAAGAAAUUUAACCCCAGGGUUGAUGCUGCUCUCUCCUCUGCAGUGACAGGGGACUCGGCAAGCAUCCUUUGUUUCCAUUUGCAUUUGGAGCACAUCUUCUGAUAAACACCACCAUGUUCCUCUUGAGGUUUGAAUACAAAAUGACCUGGGGAAUUUCAGAUGAAGGUAGCAUUUGUUUGGAGUGCUACCACCUUCUAGGAGGGGAUUUAAGAAGCUUGGAGUGGUUGUGAGAAUAUCUCUGUUCAAAUCCAAACAGGCAGCUCGGAGCUAAGUUGGCUGUUUCCAUAACACUGUAAGGUAAACAUCAUGCGUUUGCCCCACAGCAAGCAGCAAGUCAGCAACACAAGCUCCUUCUUGGGCAGCAAGCAACAGGCAGGGGAAGCACUAAGCAUGAGUGCACUCAAUGGGCAACAGAGCUCUAAGACUGCAGUAAUACCUUCUGCUGGUGAUCUACACAGAGGUCUCCAAAGUCCUUGUCUCUGAUUUUCCAAACUGGGGACCCAGCUGGAACAUCCUUGCUGAUCCGUGUGCCUAUUCAAAAGACAACUGGAUUGAGGGACAGGGAGAGUGGUGGCACCUCUUCUCCACAGGAGUCAGGAUGAUGGGGCAGCUGCAUGUGUACGGGGAGUGGAUCCCAGGUCUGGGAUGCUGCAGGUGGCACAUGCUACACAGUCUCAUCUCUGCUACUUAGAUGAUGAUACAAAAUCUCGUCAGGAAGGAGGAUCACACAGCUGUUGGAAGUCACCAUCAGAAUCUCUUCACUGUGAUAGAUCACAGUUCUGAAGGCAAAGAUAUAGUAUGACAGGAGUCUGUCUCCUGGUCCUGAAAGGGGAACACAAGGAUGAAGCAACAAUUGCUCCUGCUCUCCUUUGCCAGCUGGGCUAUCCAUGAAGUAGCCUCUGGUCUCUGAUGUUGUAUGAAAACUUCAGGAUGUGAGCCAACAAUGGGGAGAUGAAGCUAAUGAAAG